RNAcentral lists this ribosomal RNA (955 nucleotides) under Phlebiopsis lamprocystidiata. RNAcentral describes it as "partial large subunit ribosomal RNA". It matches the Rfam family "Eukaryotic large subunit ribosomal RNA", at positions 23 to 964 of the family's 3401-position model. Lineage: Eukaryota; Fungi; Basidiomycota; Agaricomycetes; Polyporales; Phanerochaetaceae. The record is from RNAcentral.
ACCCGCUGAACUUAAGCAUAUCAAUAAGCGGAGGAAAAGAAACUAACAAGGAUUCCCCUAGUAACUGCGAGUGAAGCGGGAAAAGCUCAAAUUUAAAAUCUGGUAGCCUUCGGUUGCCCGAGUUGUAGUCUGGAGAAGCGUCUUCCGCGUUGGACCGUGUACAAGUCUCUUGGAACAGAGCGUCAUAGAGGGUGAGAAUCCCGUCUUUGACACGGACUACCAGUGCUUUGUGAUGCGCUCUCAAAGAGUCGAGUUGUUUGGGAAUGCAGCUCAAAAUGGGUGGUAAAUUCCAUCUAAAGCUAAAUAUUGGCGAGAGACCGAUAGCGAACAAGUACCGUGAGGGAAAGAUGAAAAGCACUUUGGAAAGAGAGUUAAACAGUACGUGAAAUUGCUGAAAGGGAAACGAUUGAAGUCAGUCGCGUCUUCUAGUACUCAGCCUUCCUUUUGGUUGGUGCAUUUACUAGUCGACGGGCCAGCAUCAGUUUUGGCUGCGGGAUAAAGGUCAGAGGAAUGUGGCACCUUCGGGUGUGUUAUAGCCUCUGGUCAUAUACCGUGGCUGGGACUGAGGAUCUCAGCACGCCUUUAUGGCGGGGGUUCGCCCACCUUCGUGCUUCGGAUGCUGGCGUAAUGGCUUUAAACGACCCGUCUUGAAACACGGACCAAGGAGUCUAACAUGCCUGCGAGUGUUUGGGUGGAAAACCCGAGCGCGUAAUGAAAGUGAAAGUUGGGAUCUCUGUCGUGGAGAGCACCGACGCCCGGACCAGACCUUCUGUGACGGAUCCGCGGUAGAGCAUGUAUGUUGGGACCCGAAAGAUGGUGAACUAUGCCUGAAUAGGGUGAAGCCAGAGGAAACUCUGGUGGAGGCUCGUAGCGAUUCUGACGUGCAAAUCGAUCGUCAAAUUUGGGUAUAGGGGCGAAAGACUAAUCGAACCAUCUAGUAGCUGGUUCCUGCCGA